CCUGACACAGGGAGGUAGUGACAAGAAAUAACAAUACAGAGCAAUCCGUUUUGUAAUUGGAAUGAUGGUGACGUAAAAGCUCACCAAAGUACCAAUUGGAGGGCAAGUCUGGUGCCAGCAGCCGCGGUAAUUCCAGCUCCAAUAGCGUAUAUUAAACUUGUUGCAGUUAAAAAGCUCGUAGUUGUAUUUCAGCCUCGCGACUUGUCCAUUUUUUUGGUUCACUUCGCUGGCUUUUGUUUUACUUUGAGAAAAUUAGAGUGUUUCAAGCAGACUUUUUGUCUUGA
Molecule: ribosomal RNA, 284 nt
Filed under: Babesia bigemina
Lineage: Eukaryota; Apicomplexa; Aconoidasida; Piroplasmida; Babesiidae
Description: partial 18S ribosomal RNA
Rfam family: Eukaryotic small subunit ribosomal RNA
Source: RNAcentral